RNAcentral lists this ribosomal RNA (433 nucleotides) under uncultured bacterium. RNAcentral's name for it is "partial 16S ribosomal RNA". It matches the Rfam family "Bacterial small subunit ribosomal RNA", at positions 29 to 507 of the family's 1533-position model. The record is from RNAcentral.
AACGAACGCUGGCGGCAUGCCUAACACAUGCAAGUCGAACGAGACCUUCGGGUCUAGUGGCGCACGGGUGCGUAACGCGUUGGAACCUGCCCUUAGGUUCGGAAUAACUCCCCGAAAGGGGUGCUAAUACCGGAUAUUGUCUUCGGACCAAAGAUUUAUCGCCUUUGGAUGGGCCCGCGUUGGAUUAGCUAGUUGGUAGGGUAAAAGCCUACCAAGGCUACGAUCCAUAGCUGGUCUGAGAGGAUGAUAAGCCACACUGGGACUGAGACACGGCCCAGACUACUACGGGAGGGAGGAGUGGGGAAUAAAGGAAAAUGGGCGAAAGCCUGAACAAGAAAUGCCGCGUGAGUGAUGAAGGCAUUAGGGUUGUAAAGCUAUAUUAAAAGGGAAGAUAAUGACAGUAACGGGAGAAUAAGCACCGGCUAACUCCGUG